Molecule: ribosomal RNA, 897 nt
Filed under: uncultured Deferribacteres bacterium
Lineage: Bacteria; Pseudomonadati; Deferribacterota; Deferribacteres
Description: bacterial SSU rRNA
Rfam family: Bacterial small subunit ribosomal RNA
Source: RNAcentral
UCAUGCAGUCGAACGAGAAAGUCACCUUCGGGUGAUGAGUACAGUGGCGAACGGGUGAGCAACACGUGGGCAACCUGCCCCUGGGUUGGGGAUAACACUUCCAACGAGGUGCUAAUACCGAAUGAUAAGACGAGUUGAUGACUCGUUUUUAAAGGUGGCCUCUACUUGUAAGCUGCCGCCUAGGGAUGGGCCCGCGUCGUAUUAGCUUGUUGGUAGGGUAAUGGCCUACCAAGGCGACGAUGCGUAGCCGGCCUGAGAGGGUGAACGGCCACACUGGCACUGAGAUAAGGGCCAGUCUCCUACGGGAGCCAGCAGUCUAGAAAUUUGCACAAUCGCCGAAAGGCGGAUGCAGCGACACCACGUGGAGGAUGAAGCCCCUCGGGGUGUAAACUCCUGUCAGAAGGGAAGAAGGCGCGGGCGUUAAUAUCGCUCGUUGCUUGACGGUACCUUCAGAGGAAGCUCCGGCUAACUACGUGCCAGCAGCCGCGGUAAUACGUAGGGAGCGAGCGUUGUUCGGAUUUACUGGGCGUAAAGGGCACGUAGGCGGGUGCGCAAGUCGGUUGUGAAAUCCUCUGGCUCAACUGGAGAACUGCAGCUGAAACUGCACACCUUGAGUCCAGCAGAGGGAAUCGGAAUCCCAGGUGUAGCGGUGAAAUGCGUAGAUAUCUGGGAGAACAUCAGUGGCGAAGGCGGAUUCCUGGGCUGGUACUGACGCUGAGGUGCGAAAGCUAAGGGAGCGAACAGGAUUAGAUACCCUGGUAGUCUUAGCCGUAAACGAUGGGUACUAGGUGUUGGGGGACAUUGACCCCCUCAGUGCCGUAGCUAACGCAUUAAGUACCCCGCCUGGGGAGUACGGCCGCAAGGCUGAAACUCAAGGAAUUGACGGGGACCCGCACA